RNAcentral lists this long non-coding RNA (841 nucleotides) under Mus musculus (house mouse). Its description in RNAcentral is "long non-coding RNA chr12:107612999-107613840". Lineage: Eukaryota; Metazoa; Chordata; Mammalia; Rodentia; Muridae. The record is from RNAcentral.
GAUGAAGCUAAAUGUCUCCUUCCCUGCCAUAGUUGUCAGAAACUCAUUGAACUGGGUGAUAAAUGCAAGCUUCACACCCUCUGUGAGAAGCACAUGGCCACAGAAGUAGAUGCUGAUGUUCUGGAUAAAGAGUGGAAAGGUUAUGUGAUCCUGAUCAGUGGUGGGAAUGACAAACAAGGUUUCCCAUGAAGCAAGGCAUUUCAAACCAUGGCAGAGUGUGCCUGCUGUUGAGUAAGGGGCAUACUUGUUGUAGACCAGGAAAAAAUGGUAAGAGGAAGUGCAAGUCCAUUUGUGGAUGCACUGUAGAUCCAAUCUGAGUGUUCUCACUUUCAAUUAUUGUAAAAAGGGAAAGAAGGAAAUUCCUGGACUGACAGAUACCAUUGUGCCUCAUAGGUUAGGACCUAAAAGAGCUAGUAAAUCCAAAAGCUUUUCAGUCUCUCUGAAAAAGAUGAUAUCCACCAAUAUGUUGUCUAAAAGCUCUUAAACAAUGAAGGUAAGAAACCCAGGACCAAAGCACCGAAGAUUCAGGGUCUUGUUACUCCAAUCCAUGUAUCCUACAACACAAACACUGACUUACUGCUCUGAAGAAAACGUAUUAAACAAAUAAACAAACCAACCAACCAACACAACACAACACAACACAAAACAAAACAAAACAAAACAAAACAAAACAAAACAAAACAAAACAAAACAAAACAAAACAAUGAGGAGGCUGGAGAAUAUGCUAAACUUUUGGCCAAGAGAGUGAAGGAAGCUGAAGAAAAGCAACAGGAACAGAUUGUCAAGAAAUGUUGGCUGUCCUCUCUGAAAGCUUCUACUUCUAAGUCUGAGCCCAGUCAAA